RNAcentral lists this ribosomal RNA (467 nucleotides) under uncultured bacterium. Its description in RNAcentral is "partial 16S ribosomal RNA". It matches the Rfam family "Bacterial small subunit ribosomal RNA", at positions 28 to 506 of the family's 1533-position model. The record is from RNAcentral.
GACGAACGCUGGCGGCGUGCUUAACACAUGCAAGUCGAACGGAAAGGCCCUGCUUUUGUGGGGUGCUCGAGUGGCGAACGGGUGAGUAACACGUGAGUAACCUGCCCUUGACUUUGGGAUAACUUCAGGAAACUGGGGCUAAUACCGGAUAGGAGCUCCUGCUGCAUGGUGGGGGUUGGAAAGUUUCGGCGGUUGGGGAUGGACUCGCGGCUUAUCAGCUUGUUGGUGGGGUAGUGGUUUACCAAGGCUUUGACGGGUAGCCGGCCUGAGAGGGUGACCGGCCACAUUUGGACUGAGAUACGGCCCAGACUCCUACGGGAGGCAGCAGUGGGGAAUAUUGCACAAUGGGCGGAAGCCUGAUGCAGCAACGCCGCGUGCGGGAUGACGGCCUUCGGGUUGUAAACCGCUUUCGCCUGUGACGAAGCGUGAGUGACGGUAAUGGGUAAAGAAGCACCGGCUAACUACGU